UACGUAGGUGGCGAGCGUUGUCCGGAUUUACUGGGCGUAAAGCGCGUUCAGGCGGUUUGGCAAGUCGGGCAUGAAAUCUCUCGGCUCAACCGGGAGAGGUUGUCCGAUACUGCUGGACUUGAGGGCAGUAGAGGGUGGUGGAAUUCCGGGUGUAGUGGUGAAAUGCGUAGAUAUCCGGAGGAACACCAGUGGCGAAAGCGGCCACCUGGACUGCACCUGACGCUGACACGCGAAAGCUAGGGGAGCGAACGGG
Molecule: ribosomal RNA, 253 nt
Filed under: uncultured bacterium
Lineage: Bacteria
Description: partial 16S ribosomal RNA
Rfam family: Bacterial small subunit ribosomal RNA
Source: RNAcentral